RNAcentral lists this ribosomal RNA (416 nucleotides) under uncultured bacterium. RNAcentral's name for it is "bacterial SSU rRNA". It matches the Rfam family "Bacterial small subunit ribosomal RNA", at positions 357 to 765 of the family's 1533-position model. The record is from RNAcentral.
GGGAAUAUUGGACAAUGGGGGAAACCCUGAUCCAGCAAUGCCGCGUGUGCGAAGAAGGCCUUCGGGUUGUAAAGCACUUUUGUCCGGAAAGAAAUCCGCCUGGCCAAUACCCGGGCGGGAUGACGGUACCGGAAGAAUAAGCACCGGCUAACUACGUGCCAGCAGCCGCGGUAAUACGUAGGGUGAGAGCGUUAAUCGGAAUUACUGGGCGUAAAGCGUGCGCCGGCGGCGUUGUAAGACAGAUGUGAAAUCCCCGGGCUCAACCUGGGAACUGCGGUUGUGACUGCAAGGCUAGAGUGCGUCGGAGGGAGGUGGAAUUCCGCGUGUAGGAGGGAAAUGCGUAGAGAUGCGGGGGAACACCGAUGGGGAAGGCAGCCUCCUGGGAUGACACUGACGCUCAUGCACGAAAGCGUGGG